GCACUCGUAGCUCAGUGGAUAGAGCAGCGGUUUCCGGUGCCGCGUGUCGGGGGUUCGAAUCCUCUCGGGUGCA
RNAcentral lists this transfer RNA (73 nucleotides) under Lachnospiraceae bacterium. Its description in RNAcentral is "tRNA-Arg". It matches the Rfam family "tRNA". From Rfam's summary of the family: Transfer RNA (tRNA) molecules are approximately 80 nucleotides in length. Their secondary structure includes four short double-helical elements and three loops (D, anti-codon, and T loops). Lineage: Bacteria; Bacillati; Bacillota; Clostridia; Lachnospirales; Lachnospiraceae. RNAcentral also lists the same sequence under 1 other name. The record is from RNAcentral.